Long non-coding RNA from Arvicola amphibius (Eurasian water vole), 3740 nucleotides. RefSeq lists it as uncharacterized. The record is from RefSeq and is a predicted model, not a curated record. NCBI's taxonomy places the organism in Eukaryota, Metazoa, Chordata, Mammalia, Rodentia, Cricetidae. The transcript has 6 exons.
GGCAUCUCUCAUCAGGGGCCAGCACGGCUGUGGGAGCCUGUUGGGACCCCAGUGAGGAGACCUACGCAUGAGCCAAGAACAUUGUCCAGUCCUCUGCAGCUCCAGAAUUCCCAAGAUCUUCCGCACCUCCAGAGCCCCGCCUCCUUCCCACGGGAUUCCAGGAGUGUUGCGCCUGCGCACCAGAACUGUGUAGCCUGCUAAAGCUGCUGUGCCUUACACUGACGUGGCUUCCAUGGACCUGGAUGUGACUCCUCCACAGCUCCAUGCAGGUUAUGCAGGUUAUGGCUGAGGGCUUCUGCUCUCCAAUGCAUGGUUCUCACACCCACGUGAUGUUGGGCAAGUGUGGAAUCCGAGUUCGAGUCUGCAGGUAUCAGGUGACACUUCUGGAAGGGGCAUUUGACCUCCAAAGAGGUUGAGACCCACAGGGUGAGAACCAAUGCCCUAGCUUGCUCUGCAGAAGGAAGGAAGUCUUGAGUAUCUACUGACAGACGUGAGCAGUAUGGGAACAGGUUCCUCUUCAGACUUCUCUGCGUGUAAGACCAAGUUGAUUGUGCAGGCCGAUCCUCCAUGAUCACUUUUAAUUCUCCUUCUCUGCAUCCAACAAAGCUUGUGUUCAAACAAGCCGGCAAGCUCUUUACCAGUAGAGCCAUCGCCCCAGCCUCCCACUCUGCCCUGUGCAGUGCUACCAACCACAGCCUUUGUUGCAGUUGCCUCCAUAAAUCCUUACCUCACAUCCCUUUCAAAGCGGAUGAACUUCUGGAGAUCUCUCUAGGAUAGCAGAAGGAGGCGUGUGCUGCCCAGGAUAUGUCUCAGAUGCUUAUGGAGGGCACAGCCUCUGUCCAGCCCCGUGAUUCCAGACCCAUAUACAGAAAGAGCUGGACGUGAUCUUCCACGCCUCCCAGAUUCAGUUCAUCCAUCUGCUGACACGGGCCAUGGUGGGAGCGGGCACCUAGUAUGAGCGGUGUGGUCACUGCACUGGGACUCUGGACUUGCCGGAAGCUGAUGAGAAGGGCAGGGUCCUUGUCGGAGCUCCUGCACUGGUCUGUAUUUCCUGUGAACCUAGAGCACCCUCGGCCCACAGGCAGCAUUUGGGAAGUGAGCCCGUGGGGUAAGUGGGAUUCUCGCUCGUACCCACAGAGCUCUGUCUGACCACUGUGGCAGGGCAGACACAGGUACUCUCUCACCCUGGAAGCUUCCCUGAUGUGCCUUCUCCUAUAGACCCAGGGGAAGUCAGCCACAGACACUGAGUCAGGGCCGACUCUGAGGGUUCUAGGUAAAGAAAAAAAAUGGUCCUCUGUGCCAAGGAACAGGGAUGUUUCCUCUGAGGCUCUUCUCUGGCUCGGGGGUAAUUUAUGGUCCCAUAAGAGCAGGAUACAGCAGGGGCUGAGAGAACAGAGAUGGACAUAGAUCUGGGGAGCCCUGGGAUGGGUCCUUCUGGAACCUGGGAAUGCUGACUAUUGCCAUAAGAGUGGCUUCACGGUGUCUCCAUAAGCACCUAGCAAAGUUUUGGUGGAAUCAGAAUUUUGUUUCGCUUGGAUUAGGAUCUCGGUUCCUGAGGGCCCUUCAAUACCUCUCCACCCCUAAUUUUGUUUGUUUGUUUGUUUCGUUUUUUUGAGACAGAGUCUCACUUUGUAGUCCAGGCUGGCCUAAAACUCACCAUGUCUCCCAGGUUAAUCCUAAGAUCACGAUCCUUCUCCUCGCCCUCCCGAGUGCUGUCGCUGAUCCACUCUUGGUUAAGAGGGUCUUCCUGUGGAGUCGGCUUCACCUAGCCCUGCGCCCUAAGAAAGGCCUUAGCUCUCUAAGGCCAGCCCUGGCUGGGGGCAGGGCACAGGCUCCCAAGUGAACCAGCACUGGGGUUGAAGCAGCUAGACUUGAAGUGAGGAAGGAGGAAGUGUGUGUCUCUCCGCUUCCACUGGGGUAGAAGAGGUGGUAAAGCAAGAGGCUGCAGGGGAGAGACCUUGACCCCCAGCACCUCUGUGCCACCCUUCUCUAUACGUCCCCAGCCCUGUCCCUGACCCCCAGUGCCUCUGUACAUCCCCAGCCCUCCUGGGUUACCCAUCUCUGUAUGACAGCGCCACCCUUCUCUGUAAGUCCCCAGCCCUCCUGGGUUACCCAUCAUCUCUGUAUGACAGUGCCAUUCAUGGAGUUAGGACUGGAUGGCGGAAAGGCUGCACGUCUGUGAGGGACGUUGGGAUAGGUGUAUACGUAUGUGUGUGCACGUGUGUAUGCACACACGUGUGUGCAUGUUUCUCGCUAUGACAACCCUGAGAAGAAUGUAGGAACAUCUCUACUCUAGAUACUGACACUGGUGCUCUCUGGGGUAGCUGUGACUUUCCCUCUAGGCAUGAGACAGCCCUCUGAGCUUCAACGCCAGUCUCCUUGGCACCAGAUCCAGAAUGCUUUCUUACGGAGCAGAUUCCAACUGUUUCUGGUGUGGGUUGCGGUUGAAAGUCUUUCACCAAACCCGAAGCUCACCGACUUGGCUAAGGUGACUAGCUAGUGAGCUUCAGGGACCCACCUGUCUCUGUCCCCACCCCCAUCCUCCCUCCCUCCCUUCCUGCCCUUGCUCUAAAGGCUAGCAUUACUGACCCAGGAUCAGCUGUUUAAAGCAACCACUGAAGACCCACACGUGUGCCUCAUGUUUGCACGGCACCUUCUGCUCAGACUCUGAGAGCUAGUCCCACACAUCCAGGCCAAGCUCAGGGUUUGACGACAAGGUCAUGGAAACUGGGUGACACUGUGGACCUUGUGACCAGGGCCCUACUUUCCCUUGCCUGGGAAUGGGGUUCACUCACAGUAAGGCAGGCCAGUGUGGAGGCAGGGUCUGGGCCUUGCUCUAUGGAGCUCCCUCUCCCACCUGGGGCCUUUGACCUGGACUUAUCGUAUAGUCUGAUGCCAUCUGGAUGUGAACUCAAUAUCCCAUCUAUGUGAUGAUCUAGGACAUAAGAGAGUCUUCCAGCAUUCCUGAUGCACAGCCAGGGCCACAUCAACUGCCUUCCUCCCCGGCACUGAUCCAGGCUUCUCAGGAGAUUUAAUGAGGUGCUUUCCAGGAACAUAUACUUGUAACCCGUUGGCUGCUAGGAAAAGACAUCCUCCAAACAGAUGAAGAACCCAUGAGUCUCAGCUGGAGAAGUUCAAAUCUUGAUUUGACCGAAGGAUUGCAGGGUGCAGAGAACCAGAGUCCCGGGUCUCUAUGAACUCUGACCUUCAGGAAAUAAUUUCAACACCUCCAGCUGGAAAGGUUGAGGGAGGGGACGGUACUGAAGUCAGGCAGGCUACCGCCCAGCCCCCACCCUCCCCACCCUCUUUUGCUUCAUUCCCGCUUCAGGCCUUCAGCCCCUUCUGCUGCAGCGAGAACCUGGCCUUCGGUUGGGGACAGUAGGGAAGCCGUGGGAAAAACAAUCAAACCUCAGUCAGUCGUAUAAUUAGUUGUUCCUCUGAGACUGUGGUCGCCUCCGUUUUCUCUGCCUGGCCAUCCCCCACCCUGCCCUGCAGGACAAGGGCUUCUGAAUACCAGGUCGUCACCUCAUUAAUGUGAACGGGAAGUCUGGACAUGAGCCGGAUGGCCAUAAAUUACCCUGUGUGAGAAAAGGUGAAAGACUUCGUAUGUGCAUGUGUGCUGCCUGUAUGUGCUUCAUGUGUGUGCGUGAGCCCCACCACAUGUUCCAUAUAUGUAUCACAUCAAUAACAAAGUACAUGUAUUACACAUGCGCUGUGUGUGCACCUAAGCAGCAACUAUG